UACGUAGGGGGCGAGCGUUGUUCGGAAUUACUGGGCGUAAAGGGCUCGUAGGCGGCCAACUAAGUCGGACGUGAAAUCCCUCGGCUUAACCGGGGAACUGCGUCCGAUACUGGUUGGCUUGAGUUUGGGAGAGGGAUGCGGAAUUCCUGGUGUAGCGGUGAAAUGCGCAGAUAUCAGGAGGAACACCGGUGGCGAAGGCGGGUCUCUGGGCCGAUACUGACGCUGAGGAGCGAAAGCGUGGGGAGCGAACAGG
This 253-nucleotide ribosomal RNA is filed under the name uncultured bacterium. RNAcentral's name for it is "partial 16S ribosomal RNA". It matches the Rfam family "Bacterial small subunit ribosomal RNA", at positions 524 to 776 of the family's 1533-position model. The record is from RNAcentral.